CGGAUCUGUUGUUGACGUUCCCGGCUUUGAUCCGUUUCCAUUUGGCCCUGCGGUUCUGAAACCAGAUUUUGACCUGGACCUCGCUGAGUUUGAGCGCGUGCGCGAUCUGAGAGCGCUCGAGGCCGAUGGCAUCGAGUCGUGAGGGCGGAGAGGCAGAUGUUUUUGCCCUCUUGUGAGAGAGAGGCUUUUCUAUUCUGUUGGGAGAAAGAGUGAAUCUGGCCGACAAUUAUCCCUAAGAGGGAGAUUUAACUGAUGAAAUGACGUUUGAAUGUAGAGAUCUGUGUGAACUCUUACUGAUCGUUUUGGGGGGAAUUAUUAUGUGUGUGUGUGUG
This is a long non-coding RNA of Carassius carassius (crucian carp), 332 nucleotides long. RefSeq lists it as uncharacterized. The record is from RefSeq and is a predicted model, not a curated record. The transcript has 2 exons. NCBI's taxonomy places the organism in Eukaryota, Metazoa, Chordata, Actinopteri, Cypriniformes, Cyprinidae.